CUACGGGUGGCUGCAGUGAGGAAUAUUGGUCAAUGGACGAGAGUCUGAACCAGCCAAGUAGCGUGAAGGAUGACUGCCCUAUGGGUUGUAAACUUCUUUUAUAUGGGAAUAAAACGUUCCACGUGUGGGAUUUUGUAUGUACCAUAUGAAUAAGGAUCGGCUAACUCCGUGCGAGCAGCCGCGGGCAUACGGAGGAUCCGAGCGUAAUCCGGAUUGAUUGGGGUUAAAGGGAGCGUAGGUGGAUUGUUAAGUCAGUUGUGAAAGUUUGCGGGUCAACCGUAAAAUUGCAGUUGAAACUGGCAGUCUUGAGAACAGUAGAGGUGGGCGGAAUGCGUGGUGUAGCGGUGAAAUGCUUAGAUAUCACGAAGAACUCCGAUUGCGAAGGCAGUUCACUGGACUGCAACUGACACUGAGGCUCGAAAGUGUGGGUAUCAAACAGGAUUAGAUACCCCAGUAGUC
Molecule: ribosomal RNA, 459 nt
Filed under: uncultured bacterium
Lineage: Bacteria
Description: partial 16S ribosomal RNA
Rfam family: Bacterial small subunit ribosomal RNA
Source: RNAcentral